Molecule: ribosomal RNA, 252 nt
Filed under: uncultured bacterium
Lineage: Bacteria
Description: partial 16S ribosomal RNA
Rfam family: Bacterial small subunit ribosomal RNA
Source: RNAcentral
UACGUAGGUGGCAAGCGUUGUCCGGAUUUACUGGGCGUAAAGAGCGCGCAGGCGGUCGGAUAAGUCGAAUGUGAAAGCCCCUGGCUCAACCAGGGAGGGUCAUUCGAUACUGUUCGACUCGAAGGCAGGAGAGGGAAGUGGAAUUCCGGGUGUAGUGGUGAAAUGCGUAGAUAUCGGAGGAACACCGGUGGCGAAGGCGGCAUCCUGGACCAAUUCUGACGCUGAGGAGCGAAAGCCAGGGGAGCAAACGGG